GGACUCUAUAAGUACUACCACUCCUAUCUGCGGACACAAAUCUGAAUCCUCCCUCUUACAAACGUCAAUAACACUCUCUGUUCUAUCCUCUUAUUAGUUCUGUUCUUCCACUUGAGUUCUCAUUCCGACAACAGAAACAAACAUAGAAGCAUCAUCUUAGAGAGCAUACAAAGCCUAGGGACUGUCUCCGGAGUUCCAUCUUCUACUUGGCCUACCUUUGAAGUUAACCAGAUUGUGUAUGUAUGUAUGUAAUUUUUUUUUUUUUUUUUGAUGAAAGAUGGAUAUGUAUAGGGUGUAGAUGAAAAUCGGUGACGUGUGUGUAGGGUGUGAGAGUGUGUGUGUGUAUGCGUAGAUGUAUGUAUAGGGUGUGAGAGAGACGGAGCGUAGAGAGCAACGAAGCAAACGAAAACACACACACGAAAACACAAAAAUGACUUACGAACCUAAUCGCCAAAGCCCAAACGAUCGUUAGACCCACAAAAUCGACUAACGCCAACUUAAUCUUGAAGACCACAAGCGCUAGAUGAAACACAUAAAUUUGGCUAACGCUAACUUAAUCGCCGAAGACCAAACGAUCUCUAGACGAAGCACAACGGUUACCUAGCAACAUACAAAAUUGACUCACACAAAAAUUUAGACAAACCCUCAUCACCGGAAACCAUACAAAUUAUACAUGAAUAAACCGCUAGACGAAACACACCAGAAUAAUUAGAAAAUGACAACUAAUAUAAACACACCAAAACGAAUGAACAUAUUAAAUUUUUUUUUGACACACAAAAAUGACAACUAUAAAGGAAAAAUAAUUAGAAAAAGCCAAAUUAAAAAUCUAUUCAUCAGCACUGAUCUCAUAAAUAAUAAAAAAUUUCGUCUAAUCCUGAUCAUGAAAAAGAUAAAGGAAAAAAAAUCACUAUCAAAAAUAUCAUCGAGGAACAUUUUAAAGUGGCUAAUCCACUUGAGAGAAACACAUGUGAAUCUCUCCCAAAAAUCUUAAAUUCUUUGUUUUUCGUCUUAGCUUCAAUAUUUUUUGGGUUUUAUUCGCCUUGCGACUUGGUUUGCCCGAACCGAACCGAGCUGGUUAUUUCGGUUUUUGGUUAUUUAAGACUUUGAAAAUUCUACCGGUUAUUUAAGACUUUGGUUCGGAUAUCGAUUAAUUCAGUUUUUGGUUUUAUUAAGAUAAUAACUUAUCAGCUCCUCAUCGGUCGGCUCUGUUUUGGUUUUUUUAGGGGGAAGUGAAACAGAGAGAGGAUUUAAAUUGUCGAAUAAAAAAAAACUUAAUUUAAAUUGAAAGGCUAAGAAGGAUCAUUCUUUUUAA
Long non-coding RNA from Arabidopsis lyrata subsp. lyrata, 1312 nucleotides. RefSeq lists it as uncharacterized. Lineage: Eukaryota; Viridiplantae; Streptophyta; Magnoliopsida; Brassicales; Brassicaceae. The record is from RefSeq and is a predicted model, not a curated record. The transcript has 2 exons.